GGGAAUGUAUGUGGUCCGGUGGCCACUGCAGCCUUCAAAGCUGUUAUGCCGGUGGAGAGCCGGCGGAUAGGUUCGACUCCUAUACAUUCCCG
This 92-nucleotide transfer RNA is filed under the name Fidelibacterota bacterium. RNAcentral describes it as "tRNA-Sec". It matches the Rfam family "Selenocysteine transfer RNA". Lineage: Bacteria; Pseudomonadati; Fidelibacterota. The record is from RNAcentral. RNAcentral also lists the same sequence under 1 other name.